RNAcentral lists this long non-coding RNA (227 nucleotides) under Elaeis guineensis (African oil palm). RNAcentral's name for it is "long non-coding RNA (EGUI_LNC078525)". The record is from RNAcentral. Lineage: Eukaryota; Viridiplantae; Streptophyta; Magnoliopsida; Arecales; Arecaceae.
CGAGCUUUUAUAAUACCAUUCGGACUUCUCCAGCGGUUGACCUUCCACAGUGUCUUCCAGAUUCUCCCAACGGACGGACUCCUAUCAUGCCAUCCAGACUUCUUCAAUAAUGAGCUCUCCCAUUCAUCUAUCGGACUGCUCCAAAUGCUCUCCGGGCUUCAUUAUCAGCCGACUUUCUCCAGUGAUUGGCUACCUUCUGAAUCUCUUCCAGACUUCUUCUUACCAUG